AUUGGGACAGCCAUAGGUAUAAUUGAGCCUCCUACGUCCUCGGGAGUACUCCUCGAGGAUGAUGAGGACGAAGUGUCGCUACUGCUACUACUAGACAUCCUGACCUAGGUAAAAAAUACCUAAAGAAUAACUUAAAAACUCGAGGUCUUACCUUAAAGUCGACGUCUAAAAACUCAAAGUCCGAUCCCGACGAUUAGCGAGAGAAGUUUACUGAGAGUAAAAAGUGAAAAAUGAAAAUGAGGGGAGGGUAUUUAUAGGUAACAGGAGCAAGAAGCCCAAAAGUCACAACCCCGACCGUUAGAUCUGGACACGUGUCCCACAUCUAACCUUACCAGUUUUUACCGCCUUUUCCUAUCCUAGGGCUGACGUCAGUACGCGUCAGCCUUUUGAUCAAGCACAGGUGUUCAGAAAUCCCCGAGCUAAAACUCGAGCUUUUAUUUCUAGUCUCUUUGCAUCAUAUCCUCGAGCAUUUCUUCGAGCAUAUAUGCACGGGGGCCUAUGAUGGUGACAUUUUACGAUAUCCCCGAUCAGUAUAUCCCGAUGACUAAUUUUGGUAAAGUUGUAAAUCCAUCCAUGGUGUCCUCGAGCAUGUUCGUCCUCGAGACACAAGGCCCGACCACAUCUCCAUCACGCUUCGCAUGUUGCAAAGAUGUGUCCUCGGGCAUGGUCCUCGGGAAUAUGCUCCUCCUUACUGCUGACGAUUGUUCACCCUUUAGAAUUCCUACGCAAUUAGGAAUCUUAACUCCCACAAGAGUCCUAUCUCACGCAUAAUUCUGGAAUUCAACCAACUCCUUAACCAGCAGGACUCCAACAGAUGAGGACAUCCAGCUAGUUGAGCCCAAUUAGGAGAAUGUCACUUACUACUAUAAAUACAGAACUUUGAACCAUUAUUCAGGUACGUUUUACAUUGUUCUUCAGCACAUAGCCUCACGCAUAUAUUUCCCUUUCUGACUUAAGCAUCGGAGGGGCGACGAGAACACACCUCGUUGCCUUUGUUUCAGGUAUCGGAAGAUCACGUUCGUGCUCCUCACCAAUCAUCAAGCUCGGAAAAUCAGCAGGUACGAUUUUUGGUAGCAUC
RNAcentral lists this long non-coding RNA (1078 nucleotides) under Olea europaea subsp. europaea. Lineage: Eukaryota; Viridiplantae; Streptophyta; Magnoliopsida; Lamiales; Oleaceae. The record is from RNAcentral.